Mirounga angustirostris (Northern elephant seal) is the source of this 7220-nucleotide long non-coding RNA. RefSeq lists it as uncharacterized. NCBI's taxonomy places the organism in Eukaryota, Metazoa, Chordata, Mammalia, Carnivora, Phocidae. The record is from RefSeq and is a predicted model, not a curated record. The transcript has 3 exons.
GCUAGAUGGGGGAUGGGUAUUAGAGAGGGUAAUUGUUGUGAUGAGUACUCGGUGUGGUAUGUAAGUGAUGAAUCACUGAAUUAUGCUCCAGACACCAAUAUUGCACUGUAUGGUAACUAACAAAAUUUUUCAAAACUAAAAUAAGGUUACCAGAGUCACCAAUAGAGGAACUAAACAUCAAAAGAAGGUAUAGAAGCCAAGAGAAAGAAAGUGAGGGCAGAUUGAAGACACAUGAGUGAGUUAAAUUCUCCUCUGUAAGCAGAAUGUGGUCAACUGAUGAUGUUUGAAGUUGAUGAAUUAUUGAAAUAGCAGAUUAAGCACUUUAUCUAGAGGUAAGAGGGUAACUGCCAGAACAGUGCAAACAGGAAUUAUUAAAAUGCUCUACCCUGGGAAGCACAAUAAGGGGUUGAGAAGUGAUGGGGUCUUGAGCCUUUGCUUUUUGUCAUAAGCUCCUUUGCACUUUCUGGUCAUCACUAUUUUAUUUACCAUGUGCAUGACUUCCUUUCAGUGAGAACAAUGCUUUUCUGUUUCUUUUUCUUUUUUAAAGAACGGUUUUUUAUUUAUUUAUUUAUUUAUUUAUUUAUUUAUUUUUUAAGAUUUUUUAUUUAUUUAUUUGAGACAGAGAGAAUGAGAGACAGAGAGCAUGAGAGGGAGGAGGGUCAGAGGGAGAAGCAGACUCCCUGCCGAGCAGGGAGCCCGAUGCGGGACUCGAUCCCGGGACUCCAGGAUCAUGACCUGAGCCGAAGGCAGUCGCUUAACCAACUGAGCCACCCAGGCGCCCCAAGAACGGUUUUUUAAAAGACGGUGUGUAUGUUCGGUAGGAGGUCCUAUGGUUAACCGCUGUGACUUUAGCAAGACUUUACCAUAUGGAAGGAGAUUUCAUUGUACAUUUAUUAUAUAGAGUGGGAACUUAAGUUGCUCAACAACUCAUAGUAUUGAGAAUCAGCCAUUCACACAUCCAUAGCCCAUGAAUGUGUCAAAGCACCAUUGUGAAUGUUCCAGAGAUAUCAUGGAGACAUCAGAACGCAUUCAGUAUCCUACAGCAAAGAAGUCGAAGGAGUGUAUCACCUAACAGUAAUUUAUGUCCAAAUUGUCCCCAAAAAGGGUGCUUGAAGGGAUGAAUAGCAGUUGAGGGAAAAUUCACUCGUGACUCAAUAUCCCCAUUUCAUUGAGAUUGUAUUAUCAAAUCUUCUGGGUGGUUUUCUUGAGUACGGAGAAUGGCAUGCUUUCCUGUGUUGACUUGUAAAGUCCUCGGACCUCAGGGAAAAUAAAUAAAUGGAUUAUAAAAAGGUCCUAAGGUUGGGAGAACUAAGGAAAACCUGAAUGAGGGUGCAAGAAAAGUGAGUUCAGGCUGGGGAAUCAGGCAGUUGCCUGGAGUAAGAUCCAGUCAUAGCCUGGGAUGUGACUCAGAGGAUCAGACUCCCUCUGAACUGACACUUUGCUCCUGGUUAGAGAGGAAAAGCCAGGCUUCCUUGGACACCAGAAAGGAAAGACACCGAGUCUUCAAAAACCAGCUGAACAAGGAUAUCCUCAAGACAGAGGGAAAUGGCAUUAAUAAGGAGUCUCUUGUGUUGGGCAUUGAAUGCAUGCCAGGCACUGUGACAAACAUUUCCCAUAUAUUACCACUUUUCAUCCUUAACAACUAUCCCCUUGUACAGAUGAAGACUCCAAAGCUAAAGAAACAAAGAAAAAAGGUAAAGCAACUCGGACAAGGUAAGCACAGCUAGUAAGUCAUGGCCUGGGGCAUAUCUAUAGGUAUAUUUUUAUAAGAUCAUGUCUGUAAACUGCCUAAGAUUAUGACAACGAAGGGCAUUAGUUAGAAUCGUAAGCAUACGUUGGAAGGAGAAUUGGUCCCCAGGGACAAACAUGCCUGAAACGCUCUAUAAAAAUCAUCAGUCGAGAUAGCCCUUUGUUCUUGGUUCCUAAGCAGGGUUGGGGCAAAAACUACUUGUUAUAAAGGAAAUCCCUAAGAACCUUAGUUAGGGCUUCUGAAACUCAAACUCAGAGCACGUACUGAGGCUCAGAGUGGUUACGUGUUUUGCUCUGGGAUUCUGACAUUCCAAGUCCACUUGACUCCAAGACCCAUCUUCUUUGAGGAAUUUUGGCUCAGGAAUUUAGGAAUAUACAGUGACUGCUAGCAGUAUAGGCUUCUUCAUUGCUCAUGACCAUCCUGAGCCCAAAUAUCACCAAUUAUGUUCCCUUUUGCAGACCCAGUCUGCUUCUGAGAGAUCAACAAGGAAAGGGUCAAAGAAAUGCUCACCCUCAGGGAAGGAGUGAGGGGAAAGAGGCAGAGAGGAAAAGAAACAAGAGGGAGAAACCGAGGACUGGCUUGUCUCUUGCCUUUAAUCACACCCCAAAGUGACCUAGGAUCGAGAAAGACAGAUUCAGGUAGGCAGAAGCCCUCAGGAAGAAUCAAGCUUGGAUCCUGGAGUGGUCAAGAGUAUUCUAAGAAGGCCCACAGUGACCAGGAUAUAGAAAGGAAGAAGGAAGUGGGCCACAUGAAAUGGAAGACCAGUGCUGGCUCCAAACAUUCUCGAAAUGUCUCCGGAUCUGAACCUAUCUCCUUUUAAAGCUCCACUGAGAAAUAAACAGAAAGAGAAGCUAAACUCUAGCACACAAAGUCUCUUGCUGUCCUGUUUUAAACCAACUCCCAUGCACGUGCUGCCAGGAGUACUGAAAGCAGGACCUGAGUGAGGACACUGAGGCUGGACCAUGCAAGUCAGGUUUGGGGCCAGCCCUUUUUUUUAACACCCAGUCCCUCUCAAUCUCUUCUGCUGGCUUCUCAUCCUCAACUUAACUUCUAAAUGCGGGCGUGUUUCAGGGAAUAGCCCUGCACCUUCUUCCCCUGACUAUCCUCUCUCUCUAGGGGGUCCCGCCCAGUCUCCUGGCUUUGAAUACCAUAUCUGUGCCCUGUUCCCUCAAUAAUUCAGUCUUGCCAGCCUAUAUGGAUGACAAAUAGACUUCAGACACUUAACAUGUGCAAAUAAGAGCUCUUGACACCCCCCCAACUGUUUUUUUCUCCCUUCUCCAAACCUACCACACCCACUCCCCAUUUUGCCUAUGACCAUACACAACACCUCCAUGAUCAAGACUUGAAAGAAAAUAUUCUUAUAGUAAUCAUUCAUUUCUUAAGUUUGUUUACCAACUGCCUUCAAUGCAUCAGCAAGUGAUGUCUCUUCUCUUUCCAGAAUGUCAUGUGACCCCAUGCACUAUUCUCCAAAUUCAUGCUGCCAGUCUUGGCCAAGUCACUGCCAUCUCUCAGCUGGACUACUACAAGAGGGUCCGAAUUGGUCUCCUCACUUUCCUUUGUGCUCUGCCCACUUGCAAUAUUUUCCACAGAGAGCAGCCAGUGAGAAAUUAUUGAAUAUAAUUAGGUCAUGGCACUCCCUUGAUUCAAUCCUCUCUCUGGUUCCCCAGAACACUUUUUUUUUUAAAUAAAGAUUUUAUUUAUUUAUUUGACAGAGAGAGACACAGAAAGAGAGGGAAUACAAGCAAGGGGAGUGGGAGAGGGAGAAGCAGGCUUCCCGCCGAGCAGGGAGCCUGAUGCGGGGCUCGAUCCUAGGAUGUGGAAUCAUGACCUGAGCCGAAGGCAGACACCCAACGACUGAGCCACCCAGGCGCCCCUCCCCAGAACACUUUUGAGUAAAAACAAAACUCUUCAUCAUGGCUCCUUCCCACCACUGCACCCUCUUCGUGUCCCUCCGCCCCACCUCUCACUGGGCUUCAGCCACACUGACAUCCUUUCUGCCCCUCUGGCACCCCAGUUUUCUGUCACAGGCCAGGGGGGACUGUAGUUCUCCCUGCUGGGCAGGUUCUUCGCCUGGCUCCUGGCAGGACUGACCACUUAUCAUUGUCCUCAGGAAGGCCAUUCCUGACCUUUGCCACUUUUUUGGGGGGGGGGCGGGGGGGUUCUAGAUAAUGCGUACCAAACCAUCUUGUUUAUUUCCAUGAGGGCAUUCGUAGCAACCUUUACAUGCUUUCAUCUUUUCUGAUGUGUUUAUUGUCUGUCUUCCCUACUAGAAAAUAAGCUCCCUGAUUACAGGGACCUUCUGCCUAGAAGAAUGCCUGGUACAGCAUAGGCCCUCCCCAAAUUCUUGUCAAGUCAUUGGAUGAAUGAGAUGAAUAACACUUCCUCCCACAAGAAAGAGACCUCUCCCUCCCUCCACUGAUGCUCCACAGGGCUCAUCAUUUUUGCCUCUGUCACAGUGCCUAGUAGUCAGAAUAUUUUUGAUUGUAGAUGGCAGGGACUGGCCAGGAAUGGACUAAAACAAGGAGGGGCCCCCUGGAGGCCUCUGUGGGAAAGGACUUGGAGAGCAUUCCCUAGCUGCUCUCCUUGUCACUUAGUGACGAGUCACUUAGUAGCCCUGUUCCUGUUGCUGGAGGUUCAGGGGCCUAGGGAUUGUCUUCAGGUUUGACAGGUUUGGGAAUUUGCUGGCCAUAGCAUGACAUCCUUGAGCCUCUUUCUCCUGCUGUUUCACUGAUUUCUGUUGGCUCUGUGGGCUGGAAGUCAAAGUCAGAGAAAGAGAUGUUGUUGAGCCCUGGUCCUUGAAUCGGUCCUGCUUGGCAUUUCUGUCUCCAACAACGGGCCAAGAAGUUCUUCUCAUCAACUGCACAUCCGCUACCCCCCAGGAAUCAUGGCUUCCCCCUGGCCUCUUCCUCCUCGGGUCCCUCUUGGAUGGCCACCUGGAAUGGUGAGGCACCGCUCAUCUGCCUCCUGCCUACAAGCAACCUAGACCCCCAAGAGAUGGCUCUUAACAGCAGUGACAGUGAUCACCUUGGUCAAGCACUGGCUAUUCCCCAGGCUUUUCCUACGUCGCUGUCCUUUUCCUUUGUUGGCACUAGCCCUGUCUAGGGGCAGUAGGGGGCUGGAUCUCGCAAGCUGGUGAGGUACAUAUCUGUGUGUCUGCUUCUCAGCCACCUUGGGAUGCUUUCCAGCUAGCGAUGGGAAAGUUCUCACUGCCUCACACCCCACAGUGACUCGGUCGGUUCCGCAGGCUCGGGGGUUGUUCUGUCAUGUGCAACUGCCUAGGUCCAGCCAACACUGCCACCACAAAAAAACGGCUUUAUUUACCCAAAGAAGGUGGAUGGGCAGGAAUGAGGGGGAGGAGAGAACAUGUGCUGGGCAGAUGAAAUUCCAUGGCCACCAUAGUCCAAUCAGAUAGCACCUAUUGCCUUCUGCUGGCAUUUCUGUGAUUGGUGUGGACAGCCUGAACUUGAGUGGAGUGAGAUGUCCUGAGGGUUUGAUCAUUUUUUUCUUUACAUCUGAGCCCAAAUCCCACGCAGUUCAAUGCCUGGCUCACAGUAAGUGAGAAACUCCUAUUUAUGGGAGGAAAGGAAGGACAGAGGGAAGGGUUGUUCCGACUCUUUUGGAAAUGGUCACAUCUGACUGUCUUUUUGUUCUAUCAUCUCUGUCUCAGUUGUGUGUAGGGGAGGGCACUUGCACAUUUAUAUAUGCAUUGAUGGGGGCUUUUUUUUUUGCCCAGUUUUACUGAGAUAUAAUUGACAUAUAACAUUGUAUAAGGUUGAGGUGUACAACACAAUGAUUUGAUAGAUAGAUACAGAUACAGCUAUAGAGAUAGAGAUAUACGAUUACCACAGUAAGUUUAGUUAACAUCUAUCACCUCACAUAGUUACACAUUUUUUUCUUGUAAUGAGAACUUUUAAGAUCUACUCUCUUAAGUACUUUCUGUGUUGAUGUUUAAUUUGUACUCUUUCUAAGGAUCUGAUGACGCGAUUCCCUCCCUGAAUGUGCUGAGUAGUGCCUGUGAGCUUGGGUACAGAGUCCAAGCACCUUAGCUUGCUUUUCAGGGCUCCACACCUUCCAGCUCCAUCUCCUGCCAUGUGCUCUUGGAGACAUGAUCUCUGUCCACGCCAGAUUAUUGGGCAUGACCAGAAGUGGCUUUGUGUGUGCUAGCAUGCCACAGGGCCUUGGCACAGACUGACCCCUCUGUUUGGAAUGCCUUCCUUCCUGCCUCCACACGGUGGACUCACCUUUCAGAGCUCAUCUUGGGGCUCUCAUCUUCUGUGCAGCCUCACUUGACUCCUACCAGGAAGAGUUAGUGGCUGGGUGCUCCUUUCUGGAGCAAGUGGGACCCUCGCUUCUGUUACACUCUACUCUAAUGGUUGCUCACUUGUCUAUCCCCUCAGCAUUUGGCCCUGUGUGGCCUCUCUGCUUCCACAAAACAUACUGCUCACCUUUUCUCACCCAGCCCCACACCUCGAACACAUCAACACUCACUGCUCACUUAUCACAUGGCCUGUCCCUUAGCUCCCAGUGCCAAGUACUUGAUAAGGCUUUCACAAAUAUUAGCUGAUGACCUGGGACCAGGCACCUCAUUCUAGAGAUUUCAGGUUUUGUUUUUGAUUUGAACAUGGAUGUGUAUUUCUUGGUUCAUGUUGGUAACCUUAGCACCUUGAGGGUAGAGCCAAGAUCAAACAAGUGCUGGACCAGGCCCUGUCCCCAGCCCUUGGUUUGGCUUUCCUCAGGGUAUCAUGGAAGACAGCACUAAGGACAGGGUGCUCUUGAUUCCCCCUCUGUUGGGCUGCAUGUAUGGAGGCUGGGUGGUUGGGAAGAAGAAUUGGGGGGGGGACGUGGAAGAACCCCAGGUCUCUAGUUCUCCGGUAGUCUGGAGCAGGGACAGGGUUUCCAGCCCAGAGGACAAGCUCAAAACCAGCUUAUGUCUCCUGCUUCCCAGACCCCUGUAUCCCUAGGGACCGGCACAGGCUCCAUAAAUAUUUGUGGCAUGGCAUUAUGAAUGAAUGAAUACGUGUUCUUUAUUCCCUCUUCUGCAAGUGUUGCAGAGGAGGGAAAGAGCUGGAAAAGGCGGGGGGGGGGGGGUGAGAUUCUCUGAGAAAAUGGGUCAGCAGGCUGCAGGGGGAGCUUGCCCCACUGGCCCCAGCUCCUGCUCAGAGAAGGUGUUGUGUCUUUGGUGGCGGUGAUCUUGGGGAGUGUGUGUGAGCGGAAGUGGGGAGAAGCCCUGGAUGUGAGAAACCCAUUUUUCUCGGCUUUGUUUUAGGCCAGGCAAGUGUAUUCUGCAUGCCACCCACCCGCUCUUGCAAGGUACUUGAUUUAAUCAUUUAAAUGUACUAUGGGGAGAGGGGGGAUAAAACAAAACCCUCUAAAUCUAACCCGUAUUCCCGCAGUCCACAGUGGAACCCUUUCCCUGCCUUCCUCUUCAUAAAUAUCCAGGCAACCUGAGAGGCUGUGGACUCACCCCCUC